CAAUUAAUAGUUUAAAUAAAAUAAUAAUUUUGGAGAUUAUAGUUGUAAUGUAUAUAUUAUUUAAUUGA
Molecule: transfer RNA, 68 nt
Filed under: Hydromanicus melli
Lineage: Eukaryota; Metazoa; Arthropoda; Insecta; Trichoptera; Hydropsychidae
Description: tRNA-Pro
Source: RNAcentral